UUUAGAGUUAGGAAAGAAAGCAAGUGAAACGGAUAGACACACUGCCCUCCUGCUUGCGGAAAGGAAUGUAUUUCCUAAUGAUCUUGUCCCUUCUAGGAGAAAUAACAGGUGAGACUUUCUUUCACCAACAAGAACAUGGAAAUCUUGUACUUCAGUGCAAUCAGCCAGUUGCUAAAGAAAGUAAGAGAACAGAUUGGUAUAAGACAGCAGACGAUAUGCAACAAUUUGAGUUAAUUAACUGCUCUUCCAAGUGUAAUCACUUGUGUACAGAAACAGUUUGCAAUGAAACCUUAGAGGUGGCACGAGUUUCAUCUGCUGGGAGGAUGUUUGCAUGUGGAGCACUUUCAAGUGAUGAAGAACCAAUGACUUCCCUACUAUUCAGCAAUGCGUCUCACUGCAGGCGCUAUAGCUUCUUUCUUGUACAGACUAAAACCGAAUCAGGGAAAAAGAGCUCAGGCAAUGUUCAGGAAAAAUCCCAAGUCUCUCUCAAAUUCAAAGAAACAGAUAACAUCACCCUGUCUUGUGAAUUUUACACUAACUGCUCAGGACACUGUUUUUUUAUGUACUGGAUCAGAGUCAGUAAAACAAGUGAAUGCCUUUUUUCUGCUGCGAAUGAAGCCCUGGCCCCAAGCUUGACUUUUAAUGAGCACUGCUGUGUUGAUCGCAACAUCCAGGAACGACUGCUGAACAAUACAAACUUCAAUUCCACUCACAAAAGACAUAACAUGACUAUCCUGAACGUCACGAGUGCUGACAGCGGGCAAUAUUUAUGCAUUGUUGCUGCCUGGCAACAUGGUAAACUUGAGUGGCAAGUUCCUACUAACCGGUCGGUGGAUGUUCAGAAAGACCAAACGGCACCUAUGCAGUGGCAUGUCAUCUCUGGAGCUGUAGCUGGGAUUAUUUUUCUCAAUGUGACAGUAGGACUGAUCUGUCUGAAGAUAUUCAAAUCAAAAGGGAAAAAAACAACCACACAAGUUACCAGAGAUCACGAUGCUAUUGGAAUGACAGAAGAUGAAUGUUCUCCAUAUGCAGUAAGUGGCAGCAGCGACAUGUACAGAAAUGAGAGCCUUUACUCCCGUGUAACAAGGACCUGCACGGAGCCAAAUGGGCCCUCUUCUAGCCCAGAUAACAGGGCUACUGGGGCAGGACAGGGAGCAGAUAUACGUACUGUCUAUGCACUGCUGAAUAAAUAGCUGUUUCAGAUACCUUAGGAGGUGAAGGUGAAAGCAUUACUUUUUGCAAAUUACAUGGCAGUCUGAAUGCCAGCUGGCUAGAUAUAUUAGCUUUAUUGCUAGAAUGUCUGUAUAUUCAUGGAUCAAUAUACUCCAAGUACACGAAUUGCCUGGUAAAAUGUUUCUUACUAUAGCACUAUGGAAAAUUUACUUCUUACUUCUGCAUCAAGAAAACUAUGAGUUACAGGUUUUAUUUCUGGCCAAAAAAUCUUGCGAAACAGUGUGGCUCAUUUUCUGCAAAUCUUCUCCCAGUAACGCGUACAAGGAAGACUGUGACCACCUUCAAACCGGCACAGGGGUGGGGAAGCCAGAGCAGAAAGAGCGCUGCAGGGCGCUCGGCACCUCAUGCCACUUCUAGAGCGCAGGAACUGCCCCGCUGGUGGCUCUGGGGGCCAGGCUGGCAGGGGAGCACGGCACGGGGAGAAGGGUCCCCUGCAGCCCCUGCCCGGGGGGGCCCGACAUCACUGCAGGGCAGCACCAGCGUGGGGGCAGCUCCACAAAGCAAGUCAGUAGUUUGCCUCCUCGUUAGGCUGAUCCAAUAUUUUGGCACAUUAGAUUUGUUACAGAACACUGUUUUACAAAAGUAUUUGUGAAUUCCGGCUGAUUUCAGCAGCCAGGAUUCCCUAAAAUUACUUUCUGGGAAAGUCAGAAUAUUUUAUUUUGACAUAUAUGAAGCAAAUCUUUCUGAUUUUUAGUUUAUAUAUUAGUGUUUCUGCUUCAAGUUUGACUUUUUUUUUUUUAAGGCAUAUUACCCCUUGAUAAUACAACAUUUUUAGAUGGACCUGAACUGAGAUUCCAAAUGAAUUCACAAAAUACUGAAUAGCCUUUAGAUGCAGAUAAUUUUUUUCUCUGCAGUCCAAACUAUGUAAACUAAUACAUGGAUUCUUCGCUAUUAGGCUACAUGUAUUAGCAGGUUCUAACUCUACAGUAGCUGCAAGAAUAAAAGCAAAAUAGCUUUUUUUUUUUUUCCUGGA
Long non-coding RNA from Apteryx rowi (Okarito brown kiwi), 2206 nucleotides. Ensembl lists it as uncharacterized. The record is from Ensembl. Lineage: Eukaryota; Metazoa; Chordata; Aves; Apterygiformes; Apterygidae.